CCGUCUCCUGCACCAAAUCAUCCAACGACAACAAUGUGAUCCAAAUCGAAGAAAGUUGAGCCUCUCUCACUUCAAACCUUCUACAAUAUACCCUCCAUUAGCAAAACAAGUUAUUAACACUCAUUUCCCACCCUCAAUCUUGAUUUUCCAGGCUUGCUUCAGGAGCUAGGGUUAUAAUCCAGUCUCAAACUGCUCCUUGCACCUCCUGAAAUCCAGUCCGAGUAAUCAAGCCUUCGAGAUCCAGAUCGAUUCCGAGCUACAAGUAAAAGGUCAGCCAAUCAUAACAACCAUGUUACUACUACUAGUAGCAAAGUUGAAGGAAAACAAAAGGUGAAAGAAGAGAAUCAAUCAGUCAUUUUUGCCUUGGAAGGAUUGUCCCCUCCUCCACUAAUGGGUUCCCAUAUCUCCAUGCAAAUAAAGCAGUUAUAAAGAGAGGGAAUAGGAGGUAGUUGCCCUUAGAAAGUGGCUUUUGACUUGGCCAAAUUGGGGGCUUUUAUUGAACUUGAACCCUAAAAAAGGGGAAGCAAAAAGGUUGAUAGGAGACUUGUGGAGAAAGCAUCCAAUGGAAGAAGAAACAAAGAGGGCCAAAGUGUUGACCUUUAUGAAAAAAGUGAGUGACAAUGUGGGUGGGGUGGAGGUGUUUUGGUACGAAAAUCGAGUUCGUUCGGGACCUGACCGGUUUGAACAAUUACAAACCCAUAGACCGGUCUAUUAGUCUCGGGGGCCUUAGAUUGUAAUGUGGGUAGAUGUCAAUUCAUUAAUAUGAAUUCUUUUGUAUUCUGAAAAAGGCGUUAUCGUCUCAUCUCCAGACACCAGACCACCAUCGUUGGCGACUAUCUCCAUGUUGUUGAAUCUUUGUCUCGUGAAUUUUCUAGAAUUCAUCGGUCGACUCUUGAAUCACGAUAUUCAGUGUGAAGAUCUCAAGUGUCAGAAUUUUUUUAAAAUUCUUUGUCAGGUGCCUCAGACCAUUUUAGUUAUGUUAUUAUCCGUCCUAGUCAUUUUUCGAA
This 1007-nucleotide long non-coding RNA is filed under the name Linum usitatissimum (flax). RNAcentral's name for it is "long non-coding RNA (LUSI_LNC005476)". Lineage: Eukaryota; Viridiplantae; Streptophyta; Magnoliopsida; Malpighiales; Linaceae. The record is from RNAcentral.